This 322-nucleotide ribosomal RNA is filed under the name uncultured eukaryote. Its description in RNAcentral is "partial 18S ribosomal RNA". It matches the Rfam family "Eukaryotic small subunit ribosomal RNA", at positions 1470 to 1796 of the family's 1831-position model. The record is from RNAcentral.
CCCUUAAAUGUUCUGGGCCGCACGCGUGCUACACUGAGUGGAUCAGCGGGUCAGGUUGCGCGAAAGUGUUUCCUAAUCUUGAAAUCCGCUCGUGAUGGGGAUUGACGGUUGCAAUUUUCCGUCAUGAACGAGGAAUACCUUGUAAGCGCGGGUCAUCAUCCCGCGCUGAAUACGUCCCUGCCCUUUGUACACACCGCCCGUCGCUCCUACCGAUUGAGUGGUCCGGUGAGGCUUUGGGAUCUGAGCGGAAAGAGCGUUUCGCUGUUUCUGCUCGGAAAACUCAGUCGAACCUUAUCAUUUAGAGGAAGGAGAAGUCGUAACA